Molecule: ribosomal RNA, 317 nt
Filed under: uncultured Synergistaceae bacterium
Lineage: Bacteria; Thermotogati; Synergistota; Synergistia; Synergistales; Synergistaceae
Description: bacterial SSU rRNA
Rfam family: Bacterial small subunit ribosomal RNA
Source: RNAcentral
CGAGAGUGUUGGGUUAAGUCCCGCAACGAGCGCAACCCCUGCAUUCAGUUGCCAUCGGGUGAAGCCGGGCACUCUGGAAGGACUGCCAUCGACAAGAUGGAGGAAGGUGGGGACGACGUCAAGUCAUCAUGGCCCUUAUGUCCAGGGCGACACACGUGCUACAAUGGCCGGCACAACGGGAAGCGAGUUCGCGAGGACGAGCGGAUCCCUUAAAGCCGGUCGCAGUUCGGAUUGAAGUCUACAACUCGACUUCAUGAAGCUGGAAUCGCUAGUAAUCGCAGAUCAGCCAAGCUGCGGUGAAUACGUUCCCGGGCCUU